CUGGAUAUGAUGCAUCUAAAACAUCUGAUUAAUCAUGAAGGUGUUUGUAUUCAUACUGUCUGAUCCAG
RNAcentral lists this small nucleolar RNA (68 nucleotides) under Cyprinodon variegatus (sheepshead minnow). Lineage: Eukaryota; Metazoa; Chordata; Actinopteri; Cyprinodontiformes; Cyprinodontidae. The record is from RNAcentral.